Molecule: long non-coding RNA, 250 nt
Organism: Limulus polyphemus (Atlantic horseshoe crab)
Lineage: Eukaryota; Metazoa; Arthropoda; Merostomata; Xiphosura; Limulidae
Exons: 2
Source: RefSeq, a predicted model, not a curated record
UUUUUUAAUAGUGUAAUAAACUUUUUGACGACAGAGGGCAGAUAUUUUGUUGAGGGUAUUCGUUUUUAUUAAAUCAUUCAUUCGAGGGCGUGGUGAUAUAGGUUAGGAGAAGUUGGUGAUAGCGAGCAGUAGAUAGACCUAAGAAAGUUUCCAACAGAACCAUGUCAGCUAUUCAAGUAUAUCACCAAGAGGAAGAAAUGAAACAAAAUGCCCAAAAAAUGGCCGCCCAAGCUACAACUCCAAUAGAAAA